UGUGAGACCAUGUUAUGGAAAUCUGAACCAACUGUCUUUAUCAGGAAAUGAUGCAGGGAGAACAGUUGACAAGAACAAAAAGAAACUGAAAUGACUUAAGUGAAUCUCCUUGAACAAUGAACACAAAAACUAUGAUAGAACAGCAUGCCUGUUUCAUCCCUGGGUCCCUAAGAUUGCAGGAGUCUUUUAUUUGGAGCUCCCUGGACAGUGAGAUGACCCCAUGUCUCUUCUGAUCCACCAGACCUUCACAGAAAAUGAGGGAGAGCAUCAUGACACAAGAACAGGAUGGAGAAGAACUGCUCUAUUCAUGUCAAACACAAUGAGGAGGAGAGAAGAAACAUGAAAGUCUGACUGAAGAAAAGGACGUGAUAAAGUCAUAUGAUGGUAUUUGAUGGUAAAUUUUCUUAGGGAAUGAAGGAAAACAGCUUGAAACUUCUAUAGACCUACAUGAGACACUUGGUUAAAUUUUAAAAAAAGAUCAUCCACCAUCUUUGUUCCCUUCACCCCCACCAUAUUGAUCUGUUCUUCAUG
Ictidomys tridecemlineatus (thirteen-lined ground squirrel) is the source of this 531-nucleotide non-coding RNA. The record is from RefSeq and is a predicted model, not a curated record. NCBI's taxonomy places the organism in Eukaryota, Metazoa, Chordata, Mammalia, Rodentia, Sciuridae.